RNAcentral lists this ribosomal RNA (454 nucleotides) under uncultured bacterium. RNAcentral describes it as "partial 16S ribosomal RNA". It matches the Rfam family "Bacterial small subunit ribosomal RNA", at positions 341 to 792 of the family's 1533-position model. The record is from RNAcentral.
ACGGGAGGCAGCAGUGAGGAAUAUUGGUCAAUGGGCGGAAGCCUGAACCAGCCAUGCCGCGUGAAGGAAUAAGGCCCUAUGGGUCGUAAACUUCUUUUGACGGGGAGCAAUAAGGUCUACGUGUAGGCCGAUGAGAGUACUCGUCGAAUAAGCAUCGGCUAACUCCGUGCCAGCAGCCGCGGUAAUACGGAGGAUGCAAGCGUUAUCCGGAUUUAUUGGGUUUAAAGGGUGCGUAGGCUGUUCGUCAAGUCAGGGGUGAAAUACCGGGGCUCAACCCUGGGGCUGCCUUUGAUACUGACGGGCUUGAAUACUGUUGCCGUGGGAGGAAUGAGUAGUGUAGCGGUGAAAUGCAUAGAUAUUACUCAGAACACCGAUUGCGAAGGCAUCUCACGAAGCAGCGAUUGACGCUGAGGCACGAAAGCGUGGGGAUCAAACAGGAUUAGAUACCCUGGUA